RNAcentral lists this ribosomal RNA (513 nucleotides) under uncultured bacterium. RNAcentral's name for it is "bacterial SSU rRNA". It matches the Rfam family "Bacterial small subunit ribosomal RNA", at positions 8 to 518 of the family's 1533-position model. The record is from RNAcentral.
AGAGUUUGAUUAUGGCUCAGGAUGAACGCUGGCGGCGUGCUUAAUACAUGCAAGUCGAACGAAGAUAUUUCGCUGAUGCGAUUCGUCAAAUCUUGAAAUAUCUUAGUGGCGGACGGGUGAGUAACGCGUGGGUAACCUGCCUUACACAGGGGGAUAACAGUUAGAAAUGACUGCUAAUACCGCAUAAGCGCACGGUAUCGCAUGAUACAGUGUGAAAAAGAUUUUAUCGGUGUAAGAUGGACCCGCGUCUGAUUAGCUAGUUGGUGAGGUAACGGCCCACCAAGGCGACGAUCAGUAGCCGGCCUGAGAGGGUGAACGGCCACAUUGGGACUGAGACACGGCCCAAACUCCUACGGGAGGCAGCAGUAGGGAAUAUUGGACAAUGGGGGCAACCCUGAUCCAAGCGACGCCGCGUGAGUGAAGAAGUAUUUCGGUACGUAAAGCUCUAUCAGCAGGGAAGAAAAUGACGGUACCUGACUAAGAAGCACCGGCUAAAUACGUGCCAGCCGCUGC